AAAAAAGAGAGUAUGGUAGGUCCAGGUUUCUAUUGGUGAAAGUUCUUGCAGCUGACCAUGAUUCCCAAUUAUCAAUGAUGACCAGUAGAGUUGCUGUUGUUCGCUGUAUUUUAUUCUUCAAAAGUAUCAUUUAAGCUAUUUCAUGCUGCUUUGGCUUUCUAGCUGCAAUUAUCAUUUUGCUUCUCUGAAAAUUAUGAUCAUGUGUCUUGCAAAUGGUGAUGAUUUAUCAUUUUAAUUUUGUCUUCAAAUUAUAGAUAAAUAAGCUUGUUGAGUUAUAU
Molecule: unclassified non-coding RNA, 278 nt
Filed under: Hevea brasiliensis (rubber tree)
Lineage: Eukaryota; Viridiplantae; Streptophyta; Magnoliopsida; Malpighiales; Euphorbiaceae
Source: RNAcentral